RNAcentral lists this ribosomal RNA (794 nucleotides) under Methanosaeta sp. enrichment culture clone L55A_6. RNAcentral's name for it is "bacterial SSU rRNA". It matches the Rfam family "Archaeal small subunit ribosomal RNA", at positions 85 to 879 of the family's 1478-position model. The record is from RNAcentral. Lineage: Archaea; Methanobacteriati; Methanobacteriota; Methanomicrobia; Methanotrichales; Methanotrichaceae.
ACUGCUCAGUAACACGUGGACAACCUACCCUUGGGUCUGGCAUAAUCCUGGGAAACUGGGUAUAAUUCCAGAUAGGUCACAGAUGCUGGAAUGCACUGUGGCCGAAAGCUCCGGCGCCCAAGGAUGGAUCUGCGGCCUAUCAGGGUUGUAGUGGGUGUAACGGACCUACUAGCCUACGACGGGUACGGGUUGUGAGAGCAAGAGCCCGGAGAUGGAUUCUGAGACACGAAUCCAGGCCCUACGGGGUGCAGCAGGCGCGAAAACUUUACAAUGCGGGAAACCGUGAUAAGGGAAUCUCGAGUGCCAGCAUAUAAUGUUGGCUGUCCAGAUGCCUAAAAAGCAUCUGUUAGCAAGGGCCGGGCAAGACCGGUGCCAGCCGCCGCGGUAACACCGGCGGCCCGAGUGGUAACCGCUUUUAUUGGGUCUAAAGGGUCUGUAGCCGGCCAAGUAAGUCCCUUGGGAAAUCUGGCAGCUUAACUGUCAGGCUGCUAGGGGAUACUGCUAGGCUUGGGACCGGGAGAGGUGAGAGGUACCUUGGGGGUAGGGGUGAAAUCUUGUGAUCCUCGGGGGACCACCAGUGGCGAAGGCGUCUCACCAGAACGGGUCCGACGGUAAGGGACGAAAGCUAGGGGCACGAACCGGAUUAGAUACCCGGGUAGUCCUAGCCGUAAACGAUGCUCGCUAGGUGUCAGUCACGGUGCGACCGUGAUUGGUGCCGUAGGGAAGCCGUGAAGCGAGCCACCUGGGAAGUAUGGCCGCAAGGCUGAAACUUAAAGGAAUUGGCGGGGGAGCAC